RNAcentral lists this ribosomal RNA (496 nucleotides) under uncultured bacterium. RNAcentral describes it as "partial 16S ribosomal RNA". It matches the Rfam family "Bacterial small subunit ribosomal RNA", at positions 29 to 507 of the family's 1533-position model. The record is from RNAcentral.
ACGCACGCUGGCGGCGUGCCUAAUACAUGCAAGUAGAACGCUGAAGAGAGGAGCUUGCUCUUCUUGGAUGAGUUGCGAACGGGUGAGUAACGCGUAGGUAACCUGCCUUGUAGCGGGGGAUAACUAUUGGAAACGAUAGCUAAUACCGCAUAACAAUGGAUGACACAUGUCAUUUAUUUGAAAGGGGCAAUUGCUCCACUACAAGAUGGACCUGCGUUGUAUUAGCUAGUAGGUGAGGUAACGGCUCACCUAGGCGACGAUACAUAGCCGACCUGAGAGGGUGGUCGGCCACACUGGGACGGAGGCGGGGGGGGGGGGGCUACGGGAGGCAGCAGUAGGGAAUCUUCGGCAAUGGGGGCAACCCUGACCGAGCAACGCCGCGUGAGGGAAGAAGGUUUUCGGAUCGUAAAGCUCUGUUGUAAGUCAAGAACGAGUGUGAGAGUGGAAAGUUUACACUGUGACGGUAGCUUAACAGAAAGGGACGGCUAACUACGUG